RNAcentral lists this ribosomal RNA (556 nucleotides) under uncultured bacterium. RNAcentral's name for it is "bacterial SSU rRNA". It matches the Rfam family "Bacterial small subunit ribosomal RNA", at positions 89 to 637 of the family's 1533-position model. The record is from RNAcentral.
ACUUUAGUGGCGAACGGGUGAGUAACGCGUGAGGAACCUGCCUUUCAGUGGGGGACAACAGUUGGAAACGACUGCUAAUACCGCAUGAUGCUUUUGGGAGACAUCUCCCGGAAGCCAAAGCUUUAUGUGCUGAAAGAUGGCCUCGCGUCUGAUUAGCUAGUUGGUGAGGUAACGGCUCACCAAGGCGACGAUCAGUAGCCGGUCUGAGAGGAUGGACGGCCACAUUGGGACUGAGAUACGGCCCAGACUCCUACGGGAGGCAGCAGUGGGGAAUCUUCCGCAAUGGGCGAAAGCCUGACGGAGCAACGCCGCGUGAGUGAUGACGGCCUUCGGGUUGUAAAACUCUGUGAUCCGGGACGAAAAGGCAGAGUGCGAAGAACAAACUGCAUUGACGGUACCGGAAAAGCAAGCCACGGCUAACUACGUGCCAGCAGCCGCGGUAAUACGUAGGUGGCAAGCGUUGUCCGGAAUUAUUGGGCGUAAAGCGCGCGCAGGCGGCUUCCCAAGUCCCUCUUAAAAGUGCGGGGCUUAACCCCGUGAUGGGAAGGAAACUGGG